AGAAAAUGGAAUUAUCAAUUUUCGUAAACGUACGUACAUACGUGGCUGCACGAGAAAAUAAAGCACUCAACAAAUAAAAUGACUAAUUAAAAUGUGGCCGUCGUGUGAACUCUGUCGCGGUUAUCUCGUGUGAACUGUCUCGGUGUCGUGGCUCACUCCAGGCUCUCGAUCCACUCUAUGCUGUUUGGCAGAUUGGAAGCCUGAACCAGCCAUCACUACAAAAUGUGCAAGUUUUGUUUGUGCUGUUCACCAGCAACCAUCUCAGCAUAUUAUCAUCGCUGGGGCAAACAGCAUCCCAUUGAGGUUUUCUCUAUUCCGCCUGGUGGAUUGAACUUUUCAGCGGAUGGAUGACGCACUUGUGGAUGGAUGCCUGGCCGUAUUUCCCAGGCCUAAAGGUAGGACUAAAUGCAUUUAAUCUAUUCUUGGUUUUUGACUAUCCUCACAACUUUUUUCUGUGGGUUUAAACCAUCAAAUUCGAAAAAUAUGUCUUAACUUUAAACACUUCAAGACAAGUGCAACUAGAAAAUGUUAUAUGGGGACCUGCGGCCCUGCUUCUCGUAUAAACAAUUAGGUCUUUGUAAUCGGGUUUGAUCCAAUCAUCAUCAAAUUUUAUUGCGCCGGAAUUCUUUCUUAUUAUGUAACUAAGGGGAUUCAAUAGAGAAGAGAUAGAGGAAAUAACACUGCAUUACGUCCGAAGCGUAAACUUAAUUGUCAGAAAUAAAAAGGGAUGGCAUCCUCGGACAUCUGUUCCGAAUUGUCGAUGGAUCCAACUAGGCCACUGGGCAUUCAUUCCGGCGGAGGCUCAGGACUAUCUACUAUACUAGCCUUGGCUGGGUGUGUGUAUACAGCACACUCGAGAGUCUAAUAAAAUCUAAAUGCCUUGACGGAAUUGUCGAAUUGAAUCACUUUGAUUGGCCACUCUUUUUCGCCUGUCUUGUAGAGCUCAGACAAAUAAACCGCAAUGUUCAUUUCCUGGAUGGAAUCAACUAAGCGGAAGUGCCGGAGAGUAUCAUAUCGAUCGAUCCGGUUAUAUACACUUCCGUCAAAUGCAACUGUACUACUACUACAACGACUCUAUAUAGCGCCCAUUAUGUGAUAUAAAUUGAUUUCCUCAUCAAGUCGAGCUAGAAAAAAAGGAAGAAAUAAAAUCGAUCGCCUAUUUAAUCAGUUGCCGAUCUAAUCAAAAGUGACGUAAGCUGAUGGGGGAGAACAGGAACGUCGUUUGCGUGGGUAUUUUUUUGACAAAAACUCGUUUGGAAAACUAUUACUCGCAAGUCUAUCUAGACGAAAUUGUUCACUAGAGCGGAUCAAUUCCAUUCACGAACCUAUACAUUAGCCGCUGGAAGAACUAACUAACUAACUAACCAACUCCUUGACAGGUCAUUAAUGCAAACGGCUCUUGUCCUACAUUCGACCUACACAUCCGCAUCGCUUGCGCAACAACAGCCAUAACACGAACCGCGGACAAUUGACGCAAAAAUAUCCCUUCCCCAAAUUAAACAAUUUGUUUCCCCCCGGUUACGUAACAAAUGAAUUUAUACAUGUCGCAGGAUCGGCCUGUGUAAGUCGAUCCUGCGUCUCCACCCAACAAAACAAUUACGUGAAGGAUAGGAUUAAGCAACUGCACAAUCACUGUCUUUUGAAUAAGAAAUGAUAUGCCUCAUCUAGAUCCUUGGUACCGUAGUAGACUACGUGUAUAUGUACCGCGGGAUCGCGUGUUGGCAGGUUCACCGAGCACAAACAUCGUCCGAAAGAAAAUAGAAGAAUAGGAAAACACACGACGAGAGAGAAAUAUUCGUGAGUUCAUCUUGAUCGGUUGAUGCUGAUGGCUGACCGAUCCAUCAUUUGCACGCGGGAUUUUGUCCCAGCUGUUUCGGAUGGGUCCUAUACACAAUCGAUCUUAUAUAAUGUAAGAAACAUACAUCAAAAGUCUUUUCUUUUCUUCUUCUUUUCUUCUGUUAACGUGUGAACCUUUAGAGAUUCCGGAUGCCCUGUGCUCCGUUCGGAACAGCAGGUGAUGCGACACUUCCGUGACGGGAGGGGGGAAAAGAAAAAAAAGAUGGGCGUGUCUAUCCGGCGAUCGAUGGCGACUCUGUUAGAUAACGUCAGAAAAAAAUAAAAGACAAUUUCUUCCAAAUGAAAUUCUAAUGAAAACAUUGACCUCAAUCAGUUUCUCUUUUGACUCUAUUGAGCCUCACUUGUUCUCAUCUCUAAAUAGACUCAAAGGCAUCAGAUAGAAUAUCAGUUGAUUAGCAUCUCUUUCACAGUCCCGCCGAGCGUGAAAUAUCUGCAAAAGGUAUUUAAAAAAAAAAGAAAUAUGGAAAUGUUGAUACAUUUUUCAUGGGGGGUGGUCUUUUUGCUGGCCGCCUCAACUGCCUUCAAGGGCCUCGUAUAAUCUCGUCGUUGGCCAGAGUCACGUGACUCGAAUACAUUUUUUCCCGGUCAAAAAGAUUGAGGGGAAAUUUUUUUUGAUUGACUUGAAUAAACAAAAGAUAAAAUGCGAAAUGAAUUUUUAUCUCUUACGGUCAAGACGAGCGUUUUCUUGCGUAUUUCUAUGCAAAUGGCGGCGUGAAUCGCCUUUGAUCUCGGAGAUUUGACGCGUCCCGUACACACUUGCACUCGGGUUGCACUUGUUGUUUUGAAGUGGAACUACACAAACGAACCAAGAAAAUGUCUGGAGAUUUUAAAAGAGAAAGACGAAAGUCUAUAGGAGUCCCGUCGGCAGUUUCACGCUCCCGAAUUUCAACUGCCCGAUGGUAUAAUCGCAUAGUAUUCGCCUUGAGAUCCGAGCGUCGAACCCCCCUCAAAAAUAGUUCACUACAAAUUCCUGCGAGAACAAUGAGAGCGACUUCAUUUCGAUCGUCGCUCAUCAUCUCUCGCUCCUUUUGUAUUUGGCGGGGUUUUUUCUAUUUUUUCAAAAUUCACGCUCAAGUGGAAUUGACUCAAUUUGAUGGCGUCUAGUAGAAAAGAGAGGAAUUUCGGGGCGUUAUAAGGAGUUUAAUGUUGCUGUGAGCGAGUGGGCGAUAUGUGAAAGGCAUUUCGAUCGGUCUAGCCGACGGGAAAAAAACAAAAUCAAAUUUCCCGAGCCUUGUCUAUGAUACAGUUUCCGGUUGGAGAAUCUAUCGAAUCCCGAAAACAAAAAGUUUGUCACUUUUUCUUACUUUGUUGUUUUAUUUUUGUUGGCAUUUUGAUAAGAAAAUUCCUAGCGCAAUGUCAUUCGGAAGUUUGGAAUGUUCUUUGUUGUCUCUUUGCACGGGUGAUGGCGCCAUAUAUGUUGAGCUCAUCAACUUUAGUAAUUAAAACUUGAGAUCGGCACGACUUGAUUUGUUAUAUCCUAGCACGUGUGUAUAACUUGUUAUUAAUAGAAGGUCGAUGACUUGUU
This is a long non-coding RNA of Daphnia pulicaria, 3382 nucleotides long. RefSeq lists it as uncharacterized. Lineage: Eukaryota; Metazoa; Arthropoda; Branchiopoda; Diplostraca; Daphniidae. The transcript is spliced from 3 exons. The record is from RefSeq and is a predicted model, not a curated record.